AUGGUAUCAUGGCACAGCAUUUGCUGCAACUUGCUUGAAGAAAACAAGAUGGGUGGUGCUGAAAUGGGCAUGCUUUGUCCUGGGAAGUGUGAAGGUGUGACGGCCACCCCCUCACCUGAGAGCACUGACCAGACCUUCGGACCUCCAGGGCUGAAAUGUCACCAUAGCUGGUUACAGUUCAUGCCUGCAAAUACAAAGAAACUGUAUGGAGACAGCAAUGUACAGGACUUGCUAGGCUGUGGAUUCAGAUGUGUGCCAAGACCAAGGUUCAGAGAAGAUGAUUUGCACCAGGAAUGCAGAAGCAAGAAGCAGAGACUUGGUAAAGAGAAUCUGGACUUUUUGCCAAUGUGCAAUGAUAGUUGGAGAGACGAGAUUUGGGGAAAAAAUCUAAGCCCCAAAACCUAGUGUAGAAAAUGUUCCACCUGCUGUGAAAAUAAAAAGGAAGGAGGGGAAAAAAGAAGUCUGAGG
Molecule: long non-coding RNA, 468 nt
Filed under: Apteryx owenii (little spotted kiwi)
Lineage: Eukaryota; Metazoa; Chordata; Aves; Apterygiformes; Apterygidae
Description: lncRNA (ENSAOWG00000017156.1)
Source: RNAcentral